Molecule: long non-coding RNA, 292 nt
Organism: Xyrauchen texanus (razorback sucker)
Lineage: Eukaryota; Metazoa; Chordata; Actinopteri; Cypriniformes; Catostomidae
Exons: 3
Source: RefSeq, a predicted model, not a curated record
AAGUAUCCAUACUGCAUUCGUGGUCAUGCCAUUGAAACCUAAUCCUUUGCAGGUCUCUGGACUGGUGAAUUGUUCCGUCUGCCAUAAUGAACCUCUGUGGGCUGAAGGCACCACAAGGAGAGAUGACACUGGAUGGGGUUGAGCUAGUGUUACUCCGGCCAGGUUUUUAUUGAAGACAUAAGGCCCGGUAGUCAUAUGCAAAGUCCCUCAGGCGUUGCCGUGGCUGCUGUACCAUCGUCCUCAGUUUUUCCUCCACUUCUGAGAGGUAAUCGUCUGGGAGAAAAGCAGCCAU